Molecule: transfer RNA, 77 nt
Filed under: Schistocerca americana (American grasshopper)
Lineage: Eukaryota; Metazoa; Arthropoda; Insecta; Orthoptera; Acrididae
Description: tRNA-Ser
Rfam family: tRNA
About the family: Transfer RNA (tRNA) molecules are approximately 80 nucleotides in length. Their secondary structure includes four short double-helical elements and three loops (D, anti-codon, and T loops).
Source: RNAcentral
GCUUGGGUAGCUCAGUUGGUAGAGCACUUGCCCCAGAAAGGCAGAGGUCCCGAGUUCGAGUCUCGGUCCGGCACGCA